AGAAACUUAGGCUAAACCAGACCAAGAGCCUUCAAAGCCCUAAGCAAAAGUUAAAAUCUUUUAGUUUCUG
This 70-nucleotide transfer RNA is filed under the name Aplastodiscus arildae (Teresopolis treefrog). Its description in RNAcentral is "tRNA-Trp". It matches the Rfam family "tRNA". From Rfam's summary of the family: Transfer RNA (tRNA) molecules are approximately 80 nucleotides in length. Their secondary structure includes four short double-helical elements and three loops (D, anti-codon, and T loops). The record is from RNAcentral. Lineage: Eukaryota; Metazoa; Chordata; Amphibia; Anura; Hylidae.